AUGUAAUGCAUUCGGGUUUCCCUAAUCCCCUCUUUCUAAUUUAUCAUCAACAAAAAAAAACCCUAGCUCAAAAAAAUUGAGCUGAAUCUUCUUCGGUUCAUCCAUGGAGAAUUCUCGUUCCUGCAAGAGUUGUCAAAAGCAUACAAUCGGUUCAGAUGACACAACAGGUAAUCCCGUUUGCUUAUCAUGUGGAACUUUACAAGAUUACGAUAAUUACGAUGCCCAAAUCGGUGGAAUUAGUGGUCCAACCGGAACACAAGUCCGCACCGGCACCGCCGGUAGCGGAACAGUUUAUAACUACAACGAAACAAAAAUUUACAAUGCCCAGAAAGAAAUCGAAGAUUUAAUGUACCAAUUAGGAUUUUCGAGCUUGAAAUCUAGUGAAGUUAAGGAUAUGGUAGUGAAAGUUACUGACGGAGAAUACGGGCAGGGUAGAUGGUUUACAGUAUUAAUAGGUGCUUGUGCUUGUAUUGUAAUGAGGAUAGACGGGAAGCCGUUGGCUAUUGUUACGGUAGCGAAUAUAGUUUGUUGUGAUAUUUAUGAAUUGGGUAGGAUGAUUUAUCGGGUUGUUGAUUUUCUUGAUUUGAAGUUGCCUGAAUUCGAUAUUGUUGAUUCGUUCGAGCAUUAUAUUAGGAAUGCUCCGAGUUUUAGUGAGGUUUCUGAGGAUUUGAUUGGGAGGAUGUUGAAACAGGGUGUUUUUUUGGUGCAGUGCUUGGUGAAGUGGUAUGUGACGACGGGAAGGAGACCGUUGCCUGUUGUGGCAGCAGUGUUGGUGUUUGUUGCAAAGUUGAAUCAAGUUGAUGUGGUGAUUGAGGAUGUGGCGAAUGAGUUGCAAGUGGCAGUUGUUACUUGUAGGUUGAGGUAUAAGGAGUUGUUGGAAAGGCUUGUGAAGGUUGCUCGAGGUUUGCCUUGGGGUGAGGAUGUUACGGUUAAGAAUAUUAUGAAGCAUGCGACUUUUGUUAUUCAAUACAUGGAGUUAAAGUCAAUGUCGAAGAAUAGAAAUAAAAAUAAGAAUUUUGAGGAUGUUGGGUUUGAUCUGGAUUAUUUGAUCGAUGAUUGUUUGAGCAACGGAAAUGACUAUGCUUUAGAUGCCGAUGACACCGUAAAUGACUCGCAGUACUUUAUGAUGGAUCACUCUAAAAGGUUGAGUAUUGAAGGUCCAAAUAGAUUCCAAAUUUCCCAAGAGUGUUUAGCAAUGAUUUAUUCAAAGAUGAAGGAUGAAAUGCAUGUACACGAGUCGACACAUAGCAGAGAUAAUAGCAUCAGGAAAAGGAAGAGAGGAUAUGGCAUGCUUUCAUACACAGAUUGGUGGAAGGGCGAAUCAGAAAUGAGCAAAAAGCUUUUAGUGAAGCAAAUAGUGGAGAAAGAUGUGGGCUUAAGUGUUAUGCCUCCUUCUUUUGAUAGUGGUUGCUUGUCAUAUGAAAGGAGAAAAGAGAAGAUAAAAGCUGCAAAGUAUCGAAUCCAUAAGACAAUGUAUCCUUCGGAUGCUAGUUCAAUUGAUACGAUUGAUGUAGGCUCCCUCGAACACGUAAAUGCUGGAAAGAGAAGGAAAAGGAAAAUGAAAUUUGAUGUUGAUUGGGAGGAUUUCAUUAUUGAAACCCUUCUGCUUCAUCAGGUGGAAGAAGUGGAGAUAGAAAAGGGAUAUUACAAGACCCUGAUGGACUUGCAUGUUUUCAACUAUUGAAGAUCUAACCGGUCAGCUCAAACCAUUAUGUCAGUUUAUGUAAAACUAUUGCAGAGAAAAUUUUGUUAUGUUUCGUUGACCGAUCUUGCUAGAGUAUAGGGUAACUUUUGUUAAUAUUUUUAAUCUGUAGAUUUGCGUGAGUUCCAUACUGGUGGAAUUUAAACAUAUAUACUCUGUUUCUUUGGGUCCUAUCUUGAACCUGUAACAACUGUCUUUUUAUUUAUUUUUCUAAGAUGAGAAGUUCCGUUUUUCCCAGUACAUUUUCAUUUUUUAGUCAUAGUGAGAAGUUCUCUCUUGUAAACUAUCUUGAUCUUAGCCCCAAGGCCUAGCUCGAGUGGAAAAAGGUGGAGGAUUUGUGGCUUAGCUUGCAGGUUUCAAGCCCCACGCUAUGCAAAGUGAAGCUCAGUAUUUAGUGGUGAAGGGUAGAGGGGCGGGCCCAUCAUCCACAGUGUUUAGAAGGCUGUGAUUGGUUAAAAGGGUGGGUCAUAGAUAGAUUUCUCGGAGCUUAGGACUCAAUUUUCUUUUUGAUAGGUAGUCAUUUUUUUAAGUUUUUAUGCAACACCUUUUCAUGCUGAAUACUAUGGUGAUUUGAGGGUCCAUAGAUGGUAAACAAUGACAUUUUUAUGUCUAGUUGAAAGGGUUUAUUUGUAGAACAGUUAUUUGUCCAUCUUCACCGAUUAGGAUCAUUACUUUUCUUACCAAAGGGGAACUCAGAGUGUCAAGAUUGCAGGGAAUUAUAAUUUCAGGAAAUCAAACACUUUUUUAGGCAGCAGCUCUUCUGAUAAUUUGACGCAGUCUUUAUUGGACAUUUAUUUAAAGAAGUAAGAGACGAGAUGUGUAUGUUUGAUUAACAAAAUGAAGCAAAUGCUGAACAAUUCAUUAAUAAAUGCUGAAUGGUUAAUGGUUAUACAUCGAAUCCUAGUUCAUGUAGACAGAAACUUCCUGCCAGCAUUUGCAGCAUUGAAUAAAUCUCUUUAUUUUCAAAAGAAAAAGUUCUUUAUAUCUUCAAAGUGACUGAGGUAUUUAUAGUUGUAGAAUCGUUCACUUUGGGUAGAGGACAGAGUCCCCUGGAGAUCCCAGAAAGUAAUGCAGUUCAGUGCACGAAACAUCCCGUGUUAGUAGGGUCUGGGAAGGGCCACACCCAAAGGGUUUUGAUGUAGACCUAAUGCAAACAUUAGUGGCUUCAGGGUCUGGGAAGGGCCACACCCAAAGGGUUGUGAUGUAGACCUAGUGCAAACAUUAGUGGCUGCUUCCACAUCUCGAACUCGUGACCUAGAGAUCACAUGGAUGCAACUUUAUGGUUGCUCCAAGGCUCCCAUUCCAGAAAUUUAUGCAAGAUACGGACAAGUAAAGCUCUCUAGCUGUUCCACUAACAGACUUCAUAUUAUUUUCACUCUUGCUUCUGUUGAGCUUCCACAAUUUUGUACACGAGUGCAUAUAAUUAGCUUUUAUCAUAUCUCAAAAUUGUUCGGUCUAUUUAGUUGACUUUAGUCUUUAGCAGUCAUUCUCCUGCCUUUAAGACAAAAGAAGGAUCUGCAGUGAUCAAUACCAAUUCAUUUUUAGUUGAUAUUCCCGAUAUCCUUUGGUGUGGGGGAUGGGGAUGAGUGGUAUGUUCUUGGUUUAGUCUUAUUUUGAGAAACUUUUGGUUAGGAAGAGGAAGUUUUGAUGCAGUUUACAUUUCCAAAGUGCCGAUGAAGGUGUGCUUUUUCACUUGGCUGGCUACUAGAGGGGUGAUCCUGGCAAUGGAAAAUCAUAGACGGCAGAAGGUUGUCUGCAUGAGCUGGUGUUAUUUGUGCAUGGAGGCGGGAGAGGAUGUAGUUGCGUAGUUCUUUCAUUGUGGUCUUUCCAUGAGUUAUGGUGGGAUAUGUUUCAAAUAAUGUGGUACUUGGGCUAUGCAAAGAAUUGAUGUUCAGUUCAAAGUGUGGAAUUAAGGAGGAGAAGAUGCGGUAUUAAAGUGGGUGGUGUAGAGAGAGAGAGAGAAAUAUAGGACCUUUUGAAGGGGUAGAGUCAAGCUUUUCUCUAUUGAAAAGUAACCUUUGAUCCCCUUUUUCUUUAGAGUUCCAAGUUGUAUAGAAGAUCGGGUGGAUUUAUAGAGAAUCAUAUUUUGUUAUAGAUUCAUUACCUUUUGGUACAUUCCUUGUAUGUGACCAGGCCUUAUACUAUAUGUAUGAAUGAAUAUACCUUCACUUGAUAAAAGUAAAAUCAAGAUUAACCGAGAUGAAGUUUUCUGCUAAUUUACAGAAGCUUCGUGCACAAUGAUGACAUUUUCAGCAAAUUUGAGGUAAGGUUCGCAUUCAAAUUGCAAUAAGUUUGGUUUUUCCGUAGCAUUAAAUUAAUUUGACAACUGCAGGAUGCAUUGACAGGAUGGACGAAAAGAAUACCUCUUCCUCUUUGUAUUGUACUUGUUUUUAUUUAGAAUUCGUGUCACUUCUGUUCUACGUUGUGAUUUUCAGCUUAAGGGGCAGAAGCAAAUGUUAUUUACUGAUGAUUGUGAACAAACCUCCCAAGCUCGGGGUAAGGUUCAAGCGUAGGAAGAAAUCAAAACAAGUGCAGACAAAGACAUAUAAAUCUGAAGAUACGCAUUCUCCCGUUACUGUCCAGCUGCAAAAGCCUCAACCGGAAAAGUUUUCGUGAUGCCAGCAAGACUCUUGAAGUGAAUCUUGCCAGUAGGAGGGUUGUCCACUGAGAUGUCACCAACUGGAGGCCAUAACAUCAGUUCCUUAGCCUUCACUCCCUUGAGCUUCUUGAUCCUGUUCUUCUCGACGUAUCCAGUUAUUUCAGCACCAUAACUCACCAGCUUACUGAUCAUCUUAAAGUUAUGUUCAACUUUUUUAGUUUGCAGGAUCCACAUGUACCCCGUGGUCUUCACAAACCCGACUUCGAUCACAUCAGCCAGAGGGAGAAGCCCUGCUGGGAGUUGAUAUUCUUCAAGAAGGGAAAGGGCCAUUUUUAAGCCUUCCUCAUGACCCUUCUUGACAAUUGCUCCUUCCUUUUCUGCCAUGUUUAGCCUCACUUUUAAUGACUUUUUGUUGCUGUUAUGCUUAUCUGAUUGAGGGAACUGAAUUUAUAGUAUGGUUUUUGCAUGUAAAGAGACAAAACUCAAUGGAGAAUACAAAGAAAUCAACAUUGUAUUAGCCACCAAAGCUACUGAUUUUACUUUGUACCAGUCAUCAUUUUUUUUG
Non-coding RNA from Solanum lycopersicum (tomato), 4866 nucleotides. Lineage: Eukaryota; Viridiplantae; Streptophyta; Magnoliopsida; Solanales; Solanaceae. The record is from RefSeq and is a predicted model, not a curated record.